GCCAGGCGCUGUUUUUCGAAAUUUGGCAAUCCUGCCUCGUGACGAUCGGAACAAUGGAGGAUGAAGUGCGAUUUCGACUCGUGAUGUGUACAGUCAGUACAGUAAAUUAUUACGUAUAAAUAUGCGAUGAUACGUACGGCUGUUAUGAAAGCUACAAUCGUCUAAUUUGUUCGCAAAUAGUUAUUCGGGUGUACGUGGAUUGUAGUUCAUCACGAAUGAAGUAUAGAAAUUUCGAUCGACCUAUAAUAAAUAUUUCAGUGAUGGAAGGUCGUGCAGGUUGAGCAAGCAAACUCGUAUCAAAAUAUUAGCGACCAAUAACCGUCUCGUGUUUCUCACGAAUGUAAUAAAAGUUCAAUUUCAACAUUAACGGGAUAAUUCAACUUAAAUUUCACGGACGCAUUUUUAUUGAUUAAUCGAUGCAACAAAUCGAAACAAAAAACGCUUUAUACGAAUGUAUUCAAUUCGGAAUUAGAAUACGGCCAGAGAUCAGACGAAAAAAAAUCGAUGCUACAGAGGAGGCAAAAUCACGUCUUAGUGCCUGUAAAGAGGAAAUUUAUUUCCUUCGAAUUAGUCCUUUAUUUAUAGAUACUUGUACAUAUCGAUGUCAAAAGAUUUUUUGAUAAGAAAAUUUUUAUUUGUCCUAAAAAAACAAUAAAUGUACAAAACACUUAGGUUUGUCAGAAAAAAAACUGUAA
This is a long non-coding RNA of Venturia canescens, 695 nucleotides long. RefSeq lists it as uncharacterized. NCBI's taxonomy places the organism in Eukaryota, Metazoa, Arthropoda, Insecta, Hymenoptera, Ichneumonidae. The transcript has 2 exons. The record is from RefSeq and is a predicted model, not a curated record.